GCGACAGACACGGCGGAGGGAAGCGCACGCGCUGCGGCGCUCAGACCCACUUCUGCUUGUCCGGUGCUCCUCAGUCACACACACACUAAGUCUGGAGACGGAUUAUCGGUGUGACUGAAUGAAGUGCGUCACACAGAGAGAAGAAACAGAGGCGGCGAGGGACCGAGAUGCGGAGCAGAGACACGCACAAACACCGAGAACCGGGAGUGUGGAGGAACUCUGAUCCCUAACACACACACACACACACACACACACACACACACACACACACUUCACCGUGACAAGGAGUGUUUGAUGGUAAGAGGUCGGAGGUCAGCGGUCGAGGAAGGUGACUGAGUGAAUGACGUCAACGUUCGAACAGCCAGACCGCCCUCCCCUUGUUCGUCCAUCCAAGUCGAUGAGCACCGCACAGUGUCAUCAGUUUAAGUGGG
Molecule: long non-coding RNA, 431 nt
Organism: Ictalurus punctatus (channel catfish)
Lineage: Eukaryota; Metazoa; Chordata; Actinopteri; Siluriformes; Ictaluridae
Source: Ensembl